This 321-nucleotide ribosomal RNA is filed under the name uncultured bacterium. Its description in RNAcentral is "bacterial SSU rRNA". It matches the Rfam family "Bacterial small subunit ribosomal RNA", at positions 160 to 507 of the family's 1533-position model. The record is from RNAcentral.
CCGGUAAUACGUCAUGAUCUCGUACGGAGACGUAAAGGGUUUACCCGCCGUUGGGAGCAGCGAUCGUCCUAUCGAGGUAGUUGGCGGGGUAAAGGCCCACCAAGCCGAAGACGGGUAGCGGGUGUGAGAGCACGACCCGCGACAUCGGAACUGAGACACUGUCCGGACUCCUACGGGAGGCUGCAGUAACGAAUCUUCCGCAAUGGGCGAAAGCCUGACGGAGCAAUGCCGCGUGUAGGAUGAAGCGUCUCUGACGUGUAAACUACUGUCAGGGGUCGGAACCAACGAUUGACCCCAAAGGAAGUGGCGACUAACUCUGUG